GACGAACGCUGGCGGCGUGCUUAACACAUGCAAGUCGAACGGAGAGGCCCUGCUUUUGUGGGUUGCUCGAGUGGCGAACGGGUGAGUAACACGUGAGUAACCUGCCCUUGACUUUGGGAUAACUUCGGGAAACUGGGGCUAAUACCGGAUAGGAGCUCCUGCUGCAUGGUGGGGGUUGGAAAGUUUCGGCGGUUGGGGAUGGACUCGCGGCUUAUCAGCUUGUUGGUGGGGUAGUGGCUUACCAAGGCUUUGACGGGUAGCCGGCCUGAGAGGGUGACCGGCCACACUGGGACUGAGACACGGCCCAGACUCCUACGGGAGGCAGCAGUGGGGAAUAUUGCACAAUGGGCGGAAGCCUGAUGCAGCAACGCCGCGUGCGGGAUGACGGCCUUCGGGUUGUAAACCGCUUUCGGCUGUGACGAAGCGUGAGUGACGGUAAUGGGUAAAGAAGCACCGGCUAACUACGUG
This 468-nucleotide ribosomal RNA is filed under the name uncultured bacterium. Its description in RNAcentral is "partial 16S ribosomal RNA". It matches the Rfam family "Bacterial small subunit ribosomal RNA", at positions 28 to 507 of the family's 1533-position model. The record is from RNAcentral.